GACGAACGCUGGCGGCGUGCCUAAUACAUGCAAGUAGAACGCUGAAGAGAGGAGCUUGCUCUUCUUGGAUGAGUUGCGAACGGGUGAGUAACGCGUAGGUAACCUGCCUUGUAGCGGGGGAUAACUAUUGGAAACGAUAGCUAAUACCGCAUAACAAUGGAUGACACAUGUCAUUUAUUUGAAAGGGGCAAUUGCUCCACUACAAGAUGGACCUGCGUUGUAUUAGCUAGUAGGUGAGGUAAUGGCUCACCUAGGCGACGAUACAUAGCCGACCUGAGAGGGUGGGCGGCCACACUGGGACUGAGACACGGCCCAGACGCCUACGGGAGGCAGCAGUAGGGAAUCGUCGGCAAUGGGGGCAACACUGACCGAGCAACGCCGCGGGAGUGAAGAAGGUUUUCGGAUCGUAAAGCUCGGUUGUAAGUCAAGAACGGGUGUGAGAGUGGAAAGUUCACACUGUGACGGUAGCUGACCAGAAAGGGACGGCUAACUACGUG
This 497-nucleotide ribosomal RNA is filed under the name uncultured bacterium. RNAcentral describes it as "partial 16S ribosomal RNA". It matches the Rfam family "Bacterial small subunit ribosomal RNA", at positions 28 to 507 of the family's 1533-position model. The record is from RNAcentral.